Molecule: long non-coding RNA, 955 nt
Organism: Seriola aureovittata
Lineage: Eukaryota; Metazoa; Chordata; Actinopteri; Carangiformes; Carangidae
Exons: 3
Source: RefSeq, a predicted model, not a curated record
CUUACACAAUGUAGUAAACAGCAAAAAAGGCACUGAGCCACUGACAGUUUUACAAACAAGAGUCGGAGUGGGAACUGUUGUUGUGGUACGGGGAACAGCAUCCAAAUGGGAUCCUGAAGUGGGGGAACGUUCCCAGAAACAAGAAAUCAUUAGACACAUUGGACUAACAGGGACGUGGAAAAUGUUGUAGUUGACACGACUUCACAAGUAAACAGCGACAAGAGCAGUUAAAAGGUGCACUCGGAACAAACCGGACUCGUUUGGCCGCGCGCUCACAGAUCAAUGUUGAUGUUUGCGCUGUGGUAACAGCCAUGGCAGCCUGUGUUUGUCUUCUGGGCUACAAAGGUGCGUGUGUCUCUGAGUCGAUAUCCCACGAGGACAGCAGACAAACCCGGUCUGGAGCCUCGGCGUGCAGGACGCUGUACGCACUGGCCCCGUUUGAAACUUGGCUUGAACACGGCUUUCCCUCUCGGUUCCUGUUAUUAGCCGUCUCAAAAUACUGUUGUCGGAGGCCGAAUGAGCCUGAAAACUCUGUACGACAUUUUCUGUACAAGCUGAAACAAUUUGGGUGAUUUCCCAGGAGAUAUUCUGUAUUUGUGUUCCCUUUUCACUUCCCUUGCACUUUGUAUGAGUUUCUGAGCGUUACACUCUUGACACCUGCAAAUGUUUUUUUUCCCCCUAAACUGAACUUUGAUUGUUGUUCUUUAAACAUUAUAAGCCUUUUCUUGUUGCAGUAGUUCUGCUGAACCAGGCUCCAACAGCAGUUAUAGGUAAUGGACAGAUGGAUGGACACGAGGGUUGUCAUUCAUCCUGGUUUUCCCGGGAUUGUUCCUUUAUUAUUCUUUCCCGGGACAUGAAUUGUCCUGAUUUUGUAACAAAUUUACUUUUUAAUUUAAUAGUUUCAAAUAAAAAAUAUCAUUUGUUUGCUUCUACUGCUUUUCUGCUUUAUUCCUGG